This 253-nucleotide ribosomal RNA is filed under the name uncultured bacterium. Its description in RNAcentral is "partial 16S ribosomal RNA". It matches the Rfam family "Bacterial small subunit ribosomal RNA", at positions 524 to 776 of the family's 1533-position model. The record is from RNAcentral.
UACAGAGGUCUCAAGCGUUGUUCGGAUUCAUUGGGCGUAAAGGGUGCGUAGGUGGCGCGGUAAGUCGGGUGUGAAAUCUCGGAGCUUAACUCCGAAAUUGCAUUCGAUACUGCCGUGCUCGAGGACUGGAGAGGAGACUGGAAUUCAUGGUGUAGCAGUGAAAUGCGCAGAUAUCAGGAGGAACACCGAUGGCGAAGGCAGCUCGCUGGGACGGUACUGACGCUGAGACGCGAAAGCGUGGGGAGCAAACAGG